RNAcentral lists this ribosomal RNA (230 nucleotides) under uncultured Acetobacter sp. RNAcentral describes it as "partial 16S ribosomal RNA". It matches the Rfam family "Bacterial small subunit ribosomal RNA", at positions 94 to 339 of the family's 1533-position model. Lineage: Bacteria; Pseudomonadati; Pseudomonadota; Alphaproteobacteria; Acetobacterales; Acetobacteraceae. The record is from RNAcentral.
AGUGGCGGACGGGUGAGUAACGCGUAGGUAUCUAUCCAUGGGUGGGGGAUAACACUGGGAAACUGGUGCUAAUACCGCAUGACACCUGAGGGUCAAAGGCGCAAGUCGCCUGUGGAGGAGCCUGCGUUUGAUUAGCUAGUUGGUGGGGUAAAGGCCUACCAAGGCGAUGAUCAAUAGCUGGUUUGAGAGGAUGAUCAGCCAUACUGGGACUGAGACACGGCCCAGACUCC